UCUCACCGUGGCCCUGUGUGUGCGGAGUUUGCAUGUUCUCCCCGUGCUGCGGGGGUUUCCUCCGGGUACUCCGGUUUCCUCCCCCAGUACAAAGACAUGCACGGUAGGCUGAUCGGCGUGUCCAAAGUGUCCGUAGUGUAUGAACGGGUGUGUGAGUGUGUAUGUGAUUGUGCCCUGCGAUGGAUUGGCACCCUGUCCAGGGGAGCAUCGGGUACAAGGCGGGGUACACCCUGGACAGGGUGCCAGUCCAUCGCAGGGCACAAUCACAUACACACUCACACACCCAUUCAUACACUACGGACACUUUAGACACGCCGAUCAGCCUACCGUGCAUGUCUUUGGACUGGGGGAGGAAACCUGAGUACCCGGAGGAAAC
Ictalurus punctatus (channel catfish) is the source of this 376-nucleotide long non-coding RNA. The record is from Ensembl. NCBI's taxonomy places the organism in Eukaryota, Metazoa, Chordata, Actinopteri, Siluriformes, Ictaluridae.